This 465-nucleotide ribosomal RNA is filed under the name uncultured bacterium. RNAcentral's name for it is "partial 16S ribosomal RNA". It matches the Rfam family "Bacterial small subunit ribosomal RNA", at positions 338 to 795 of the family's 1533-position model. The record is from RNAcentral.
CCUACGGGUGGCAGCAGUGGGGAAUAUUGCGCAAUGGGCGAAAGCCUGACGCAGCGACGCCGCGUGAGGGAUGCAGGUCUUCGGCUCGUCAACCUCUGUCAGCAGGGCAGAACAGUCACUGUGCUAAUCAGCAGUGAAUUGACGGUACCUGCAAAGGAAGCACCGGCUAACUCCGUGCCAGCAGCCGCGGUAAUACGGAGGGUGCGAGCGUUAAUCGGAAUUACUGGGCGUAAAGGGCUCGUAGGCGGUAUGUCAAGUCAAGGGUGAAAUCCCCGCGCUCAACGUGGGAACUGCCGUUGAAACUGGCAAACUGGAGUGUGUGAGAGGAUAGUGGAAUUCCAGGGGUAGGAGUGAAAUCCGGAGAGAUCUGGAGGAACAUCAGUGGCGAAGGCGACUAUCUGGCACAUAACCGACGCGGAGGAGCGAAAGCGUGGGUAGCAAACAGGAUUAGAUACCCGAGUAGUC